Long non-coding RNA from Cyprinus carpio carpio, 355 nucleotides. NCBI's taxonomy places the organism in Eukaryota, Metazoa, Chordata, Actinopteri, Cypriniformes, Cyprinidae. The record is from Ensembl.
GUCCUGCAUGAGACAGAGUGAGAGUGCUGAGAGGUUUGUCUGCAUGUUGGUUCAUGGGUCUGAACUAUUUUCACACUCUUCAGGGCCUGCUGAACAUCUGUUGACUCCAGGUGAUGAGGAUUAAGUGAAAACUGAUAAACCUGUGGAAGACAGGAGCCACUUUGUCUUGAUUUUCUUCUCUGUUUGGCUGUUGAUGUCAUUGAGUUGUCCUCACAGCUGCCAUUUUAGGUACAGAUUCUUUUAGCACCAGCUUCUGUACAACAACUCCCCCCACACACAAACACGUAGCCUACAUAUUUGCAAGACGGGUCUUUAAAUAGCUUGUGAGGGGGAUGUGAGGAGGUCGAGAGUGGGG